This 253-nucleotide ribosomal RNA is filed under the name uncultured bacterium. Its description in RNAcentral is "partial 16S ribosomal RNA". It matches the Rfam family "Bacterial small subunit ribosomal RNA", at positions 524 to 776 of the family's 1533-position model. The record is from RNAcentral.
UACGUAGGGUGCGAGCGUUGUCCGGAAUUAUUGGGCGUAAAGGGCUCGUAGGCGGUUUGUCGCGUCGGGAGCGAAAAUCCAGGGCUUAACUCUGGACUGGCUUUCGAUACGGGCAGACUAGAGGUAUGCAGGGGAGAACGGAAUUCCUGGUGUAGCGGUGAAAUGCGCAGAUAUCAGGAGGAACACCAGCGGCGAAGGCGGCGCUCUGGGCUGGAACUGACGCUGAGGAGCGAAAGCGUGGGGAGCGAACAGG